Molecule: ribosomal RNA, 492 nt
Filed under: uncultured bacterium
Lineage: Bacteria
Description: partial 16S ribosomal RNA
Rfam family: Bacterial small subunit ribosomal RNA
Source: RNAcentral
AGUGAACGCUGGCGGUAGGCCUAACACAUGCAAGUCGAACGGCAGCACAGUAAGAGCUUGCUCUUACGGGUGGCGAGUGGCGGACGGGUGAGGAAUUCAUCGGAAUCUACUUUUUCGUGGGGGAUAACGUAGGGAAACUUACGCUAAUACCGCAUACGACCUACGGGUGAAAGCAGGGGAUCUUCGGACCUUGCGCGAUUGAAUGAGCCGAUGUCGGAUUAGCUAGAUGGCGGGGUAAAGGCCCACCAAGGCGACGAUCCGUAGCUGGUCUGAGAGGAUGAUCAGCCACACUGGAACUGAGACACGGUCCAGACUCCUACGGGAGGCAGCAGUGGGGAAUAUUGGACAAUGGGCGCAAGCCUGAUCCAGCCAUACCGCGUGGGUGAAGAAGGCCUUCGGGUUGUAAAGCCCUUUUGUUGGGAAAGAAAAGCGGCAGGUUAAUACCCCGCUGUUCUGACGGUACCCAAAGAAUAAGCACCGGCUAACUUCGUG